Molecule: non-coding RNA, 1590 nt
Organism: Arachis ipaensis
Lineage: Eukaryota; Viridiplantae; Streptophyta; Magnoliopsida; Fabales; Fabaceae
Source: RefSeq, a predicted model, not a curated record
GCCGAAAAUAUAAUUCAUUAAUUAUUGGAUAACAUUAAAGCGUGACUCUUGAACGAUAACGUGCAGACAAAUCCAUAAAACAAAAAUAUCUUAAAACAUGUAAUCUUCUGAAGUUAAAUCGUUGACAUGGUUAUGCUUUUGUUUUGUGUCUCUUCUGAUUCGGAGUCUUUCUCCUGGCUUAACAGGUUCGCUUGCCUGUAGUCACUGAAGACAUAGCAACUGAAGUUCAACUAGGUUUUCUUUUAAUGGAAGACAUUGAGCCAAAUCUUGCAAUUAAGAAGGAUUUUACUGAAUUAAUUGGGGCAACCCCAAUGGUGUACCUGAACCACAUUGUGGACGGUUGCACAGCUCGAAUUGCUGCUAAGCUAGAGUCAAUGCAACCCUGUUCUAGUGUCAAAGAUAGGAUAGCGUUGAGCAUGAUUGAAGAUGCUGAGGCAAAAGGCCUAAUUACACCCGGAAAAACCGUUCUUGUGGAGGCGACUAGUGGCAAUACCGGUAUAGGACUCGCGUCGAUAGCAGCAUUGAAGGGUUACAAGCUUCAAGUGACUAUGCCAUCUUAUGUGAGUCUUGAGAGAAAAAUUGUAUUGUUAGCCUUUGGAGCUGAGGUGUAUCUGACAGAUCCUGCUAAAGGAGUCGCUGGGGUUUUCCAGAAGGCAGAAGAGCUAGUAGCGAAGAAUCCUAAUAGCCAUAUGCUCCAUCAAUUUGAGAAUCCUGCAAAUCCAAAGAUUCAUUAUGACACCACUGGCCCAGAGAUUUGGCGAGACUCGGGAGGCAAAGUUGAUGCUUUGGUUGCAGGGAUCGGAACUGGGGGUACAAUUCAAGGCGCUGGAAAAUUCCUCAAGGAGAAAAACCCAGAUAUCAAGGUGUAUGGUGUUGAACCAGCUGAAAGUGCAGUUCUAAAUGGAGGAACCCCAGGAUUUAGAAGUCAAGGAAUACAAUACUUUACUUUCAUCAAUGUAUCAAUUACUAUAUAUCAAAGUACAUUUGUUUAUCUACCGAAGAAGAGAAUCGGAGCAAUAGAAGAUAAUGAAGCCCUGCUGCAGGAACAGGAAGACUGUCAACAAAUCAGAUAUCUGGUCUAACUGAUUCAGAUUAAUUGAUGCAGGUAAGCAUCUUAUCCAAGGGAUUGGUGCUGGUAUCAUUCCCCAUGUGCUUGAUGUUAAUCUCCUAGAUGAAGUUAUUCAGGUUACAAGUCAAGAAGCUAUUGAAACAGCUAAGUUGCUCGCCUUGAAAGAAGGUUUGCUGAUGGGAAUUUCAUCAGGAGCCGCAGCAGCAGCUGCAAUAAAAUUGGCGAAGAAACCAGAGAAUGCCGGAAAGCUCAUUGUUGUGAUAUUCCCCAGUUUUGGAGAGCGUUAUUUGUCUUCACCAUUGUUUGAAUCCAUCAGGCACGAAGCUGAACAAUUGACAUUUGACUAAGGUCCCAAUUCGAUAAUAGUUUGCAUAAAUUUCUUAGCUCCAUUGUUAUAAUCCAUAGUGCAAUCUAUAUACUAUAUAGUAAGUUAGAUGAUGUGCAGACCGAUGAUACUUCGGGAGCUGUCUACGAAAUAAUGGGAAUUUUUAUUAAAUUAAAUAAAAUAAAAUUCUUACAAA